AAGCGAAGGGAGCGCUUGCAGGACAAAGUCAGGACUAAGGGUGGGGAUUGUGGAAGAUUCUGGAAGCUUCUCACUCCACUGCAGGGCCCACCCACACCUCAGGAAGAAGACUGUAGCUUUCAUCACAUCCUCCAAAGUGUUGUGACCACAAACAGUAAACAAACCCUGUGUUCUAGGCUUCUGAGCAGGUUUCCGGAAUUUCACUCUGGCAACAGUGCACGUAGUAGAGCAGUCUCACCAGUGUCCCUGGUGGAAAAACGUGUGCCGUGGCAAGAUAGUGUGUGUAAAUAUUUGAUAUCUGACAUUUGGUUGUUUAAUAAGAUUGCCUGCCUCUCCGCAGAAGAGUUAGAAUGUGCCAGCCUCCACUCGGCCCAGGCCUCGGAGUCCCAGGGACCCAGCUGUCCCACCUGUGCUUUCAGCCGCCUCCAGCAGGGAACUGGAGGGCUGGGGAGAAGCUGGAAAUGCCUGCCAUCUGCAGUAGUUGGUUAUAAGGGCAGGCGUGCUAGUCAGAGGCUCCGAUGA
Molecule: long non-coding RNA, 522 nt
Filed under: Vulpes vulpes (red fox)
Lineage: Eukaryota; Metazoa; Chordata; Mammalia; Carnivora; Canidae
Description: lncRNA (ENSVVUG00000015921.1)
Source: RNAcentral